CGCGUAGGUGGUCCUGUAUGUCUGCCGUGAAAGGGUACAGCUCAACUGUAGCUUGUCGGUAGAAACUGCAGGACUUGAGGCUGGGAGGGGCUGGUGGAAUUCCCUGUGUAGCGGUGAAAUGCGUAGAGAUGGGGGAGAACACUCGUGGCGAAGGCGGCCAGCUAGACCAGUUCUGACACUGAGGCGCGACAGCGUGGGGAGCAAACA
RNAcentral lists this ribosomal RNA (207 nucleotides) under uncultured bacterium. RNAcentral's name for it is "partial 16S ribosomal RNA". It matches the Rfam family "Bacterial small subunit ribosomal RNA", at positions 568 to 774 of the family's 1533-position model. The record is from RNAcentral.